RNA transcript from Vitis vinifera (wine grape), 4363 nucleotides. It is a transcript of the gene named heat shock 70 kDa protein 17, with no coding region annotated. The record is from RefSeq and is a predicted model, not a curated record. The transcript is spliced from 16 exons. Lineage: Eukaryota; Viridiplantae; Streptophyta; Magnoliopsida; Vitales; Vitaceae.
AUUUAUUUUAACUUUUUUAUUUAAAUAAUAAUUUGGAAAGAACAGAGAACGAAGAGGGAAGAGUCGAGGACCAUACCUGGAGUUCAUGUCGAAGCAACAAGAAGGUGCCUAAUCUACCUGCGCCGAAGCAAGUCGCCGCCAACAAUCCACCGAUAGCGACUUAAGAGUUAGGGUUCUUCGUGUUUUGUCCUCUGAUUGCUCUUUCCAUGGGCACUUUGGCCGCCCUUCCACCGGUGGUAACUUAGUUAAAACUUCAUACGUGCUUUUGAUUUGUCUGUAGCGUGUAGGAAGAUCAGGUUUGGUUUAGAAUGAACCCUUUUUUCAGAUUGGGGAUUUUUCUAUCCCUACUUCUGCUAAUCCCAACCCCGGCUCAAUCAGCGGUUUCAAGCAUAGAUCUAGGUUCAGAAUGGGUCAAAGUCGCCGUAGUAAACCUAAAACCCGGGCAGAGCCCAAUCUCAGUAGCGAUCAACGAAAUGUCUAAACGCAAAUCCCCGGCAUUGGUAGCAUUUCAAUCUGGAAACCGCCUAAUCGGUGAAGAAGCGGCCGGGAUAGUCGCCCGCUAUCCCGACAAAGUUUUUUCCUUUAUCCGGGAUAUGAUUGGAAAACCCUACAACAAAAUUCAAGAUUUUCUCGCGAAAAUGUACUUACCAUAUAGUAUAGUGGAAGAUUACAGAGGCACGGCCGCGAUUAGAGUUGAUGAUGGUACUGUUUAUUCUCUGGAGGAGCUGGAAGCUAUGAUUUUAAGUUACGCGAUAAAAUUAGCAGAGUUUCACUCUAAGGUUCCAGUUAAGGAUGCGGUGAUUGCGGUGCCUCCAUAUCUCGGGCAGGCAGAACGCAGGGGGUUGCUUACUGCUGCACAAUUGGCGGGUGUUAAUGUGCUUGCGCUGAUCAAUGAGCAUUCGGGUGUGGCAUUGCAAUAUGGGAUCGAUAAGGAUUUCUCGAAUGGAUCAAGGCAUGUUGUGUUUUAUGAUAUGGGAUCAAGUAGUACUUAUGCUGCACUUGUGUAUUUUUCUGCUUAUAAUGCCAAGGAGUAUGGAAAGACAGUCUCGGUUAACCAAUUUCAGGUUAAGGAUGUUAUCUGGGAUCCAGAGCUUGGUGGCCAAAAUAUGGAAAUUCGUUUGGUGGAGUAUUUUGCAGAUGAGUUCAACAAACAAGUUGGGAAUGGAGUUGAUGUGAGGAAGUUCCCCAAGGCAAUGGCUAAAUUGAAGAAACAGGUUAAGCGGACAAAAGAAAUUCUAAGUGCGAAUACAGUUGCUCCAAUAUCAGUAGAAUCCCUUUAUGAUGAUCGAGACUUCAGGAGUACCAUAACUCGUGAGAAGUUUGAGGAGCUCUGUGAAGAUUUGUGGGAGAGAUCUCUUAUUCCUGCGAAGGAAGUGCUUAAGAAUUCAGGUUUGAAGGUUGAUGAGAUAUAUGCAGUGGAGCUGAUAGGAGGUGCCACUCGAGUGCCAAAGUUGCAGGCAAAGCUCCAGGAAUUUCUUGGAAGGAAGGAUCUGGACAGACAUCUGGAUGCUGAUGAAGCUAUAGUUCUUGGUGCUGCACUACAUGCUGCAAAUUUAAGUGAUGGAAUCAAAUUGAAUCGCAAGCUAGGAAUGGUUGAUGGUUCUUUAUAUGGACUUGUGGUUGAGUUAGAUGGCCCUGGUCUUUUGAAAGAUGAGAGCACUAGACAGUUAAUUGUCCCAAGAAUGAAAAAACUCCCCAGCAAGAUGUUCAGAUCCAUUAUCCAUGACAAAGAUUUUGAUGUUUCAUUUUCAUAUGAGAAUGAAGAUCUUCUACCACCUGGUGUUUCCUCUCCUAGAUUUGCUCAGUAUGCCGUGUCUGGUUUGGCAGAUGCUAGUGCAAAAUAUUCUUCUCGGAACCUGUCCUCUCCCAUUAAGGCAAAUCUGCAUUUCUCUCUCAGUAGAAGUGGAAUACUUUCUCUGGAUCGAGCAGAUGCUGUUAUUGAAAUAACAGAAUGGGUUGAAGUUCCCAAAGUGAAUGUGACUCUGGAGAAUUCAACUACUGCAUCCCCCAAUAUAUCAGUUGAAGUGAGUCCUCAUAACACUUCAGAAGACAGCAAUGAAAACUUGCAUGGUGAUGGUGGGAUUAAUAACACCUCCAACUCCACUGAAAAUCAAAGUGACAAGGAUCUUGGCACAGAAAAAAAACUGAAAAAGCGAACAUUUAGGGUUCCACUGAAGGUAGUUGAGAAGACAGUGGGACCUGGAAUGCCCCUUUCAAAAGAGUCUAUUGCUGAAGCUAAACGCAAGUUGGAAGCAUUAGACAAAAAGGAUGCAGAGCGGCGAAGAACUGCUGAGUUAAAAAAUAAUCUGGAAGGAUACAUCUAUACCACUAAAGAAAAGCUUGAAUCAUCUGAGGAGUUAGAGAAGAUAUCAACCACCCAGGAACGCCAGUCCUUUAUUGAAAAGCUUGAUGAGGUGCAAGAAUGGUUGUAUACUGAUGGUGAAGAUGCUACGGCUGCUGAGUUUCAAGAACGUCUAGAUUUGUUAAAAUCUAUUGGUGACCCGAUAUUUUUCAGAUUGACUGAGCUUACUGCACGGCCAGCAGCAAUGGAAGAUGCUCGCAAAUACCUUGGUCAGCUGAAUCAGAUUGUACAAGACUGGGAGACAAAGAAACCUUGGCUUCUGAAAGAUAAAAUAGAUGAGGUCCUGAGUGAUGGUGACAAGGUCAAAAAUUGGUUGGAAGAGAAAGAGGCUGAGCAGAAAAAGAGUUCUGGAUUCAGCACUCCUGCAUUUACCUCAGAUGAGGUGUAUGAGAAGAUUUUCAAAUUUCAAGAGAAGGUUGCCAGCAUCAACCGAAUUCCUAAGCCAAAGCCAAAAAUUGAGAAGCCUCCAAAGAAGGAAACUGAGAACAAUGGGGCUAGCAGUGAGGAGAAGGCGAAUGCUUCCAACUCAACAUCAGAAAAGACUCCCUCCUCCCAAAACGAUCAAUCAGCUGCAGGGGAUUCAGAUGGCAAGCCCAACGAGGAAGCAGAAGGAGAUGCCCAUGAUGAGUUAUGAUCAAACCAAAGCGACAUAUAGGGGAGAUUAUGUAGGGCUACAACAUUUUUGGAAUCCAGGAUGACUGUCUUGGAGAAAGAAGACUGGAGAAGUGUGAUAGGUUUAGUUACAAAUGCAAAGCAGGUUGUGACUCCGGUGCAAGAUGUAGGUAGUAAAGUUGCUGGUUAUGCCAAGUGUUGAAGUGUCAAUAGGUUCUUCUUAUGAGCCCUGCUCUGCUCUUGCUAAGAAGCAAGAAAAUUUUAUUAUGUCAGAAGUCACCUAUUCAUUAAUAUUAGUAAUCUGAUGACUGAGUAAUCUACUAUUUUUUAUUUUUUAAACCUGUUCUUAUGCUUCAGAAAUGAAGUUUGUGUAGAAUAUAUAUAUAUAUAUAUAUAGCAUGGAUAUUGAUUACUUAUCAAAAAAUAUAUAGCCUGGAUAUUGAUACAGCACAGAGACAUGACACAGAACACAAUAGAUACAAGAGAGAGACAAAACACAAAAAACUAGGAUAUGGAUACACUAGGUAUUCAUUACAUAAAAACAUCCAUGUACAUGAACUAGCUUUAGGAGCAGAUUUUAAUUUCAAUACCUACUCCCAUGAACUUAUCUGUUUAGUUAUUUUUUACUUUAGAUGUCUUGUUUUAAGCUUCCCUUUGUAAGGCCUAGUUACCAAUUUCAUAAUAGUUAUGCCUCCACACAAUGUUGGACCAAAAUGCAUCCUUAGUAUUUGUUUUAGCUAAGGGAAUAUUCUUAAUGAAUUGAACCAUAUGUUUUUUUCCAUUGGCAAGAAGGUUACCAAAAUAUUGGACCAUAGAUUCAUUGAUUAGUGAUAUAAGCUUAAAUACUUAUUUUCUACUGGAUUGUCAAAGUAUUCAUAUUCUUCCAGAGGUAUCUAUUCAUGUUUGUGUCCCAGAUUAAUCCUCUCUUCAUAUUUGUGCCUGUGAUUUGAUCAAUCGUCUUGCUUUCCAGGUAACUCUACAGAUUUAUUAUGUUUCCAUUUUAUGAUUAACAAGGAAGAGUUUCAAAGAAUGGUGUGGUCACAUGGAAAUUUAAAUUCUUUUUUUUUUGUUUAAAUAAUUUUUAUUGUUAUUUUUUAAAUUAUAUUUGGUUAAGGCACUAUGUAUGGAUUGAUAUUGCUGAUGGUCUUCUCUUCACAGGCACAAAAAAGCUUAGUCUUGUCUCAAAAGUAUUACAUAUUAGACCGGGAGGGAACUCAGCUCCCUGGCAUCAACUUUAAUGUCAGAUAUUGAGGACAGAAUCCUCUGAUAUGUUUCAUUUUGUGUUGAAAACACUUGAGUUUCUUAGUAUACCAGCCAGAACUUAUAUAGUCUGUGCAAAAUAUAUUGGUUGAGAUGCUUUAUGAAGAUGAAAAUCAGAUUUUUUGCUUA